Molecule: ribosomal RNA, 790 nt
Filed under: uncultured archaeon
Lineage: Archaea
Description: bacterial SSU rRNA
Rfam family: Archaeal small subunit ribosomal RNA
Source: RNAcentral
ACGGCUCAGUAACACGUGGACAACCUACCCUUAGGACAGGUAUAAACCCGGGAAACUGGGUAUAAUCCCUGAUAGUCCUCGACUGCUGGAAUGCAUCGAGGCCGAAAGCUCCGGCGCCUAAGGAUGGGUCUGCGGCCUAUCAGGUAGUAGUGGGUCUAAAGUACCUACUAGCCUACGACGGGUACGGGUUGUGAGAGCAAGAGCCCGGAGAUGGAUUCUGAGACGCGAAUCCAGGCCCUACGGGGUGCAGCAGGCGCGAAAACUUUACAAUGCCGGCAACGGCGAUAAGGGGACCUCGAGUGCCAGGCUACAAAUCUGGCUGUCGUGAUGCCUAAAAAGCAUUGCAUAGCAAGGGCCGGGCAAGACCGGUGCCAGCCGCCGCGGUAACACCGGCGGCUCGAGUGGUAACCGUUACUAUUGGGUCUAAAGGGUCUGUAGCCGGCCGGAUAAGUCUCUUGGGAAAUCCAGCAGCUCAACUGUUGGGCUUCCAGGAGAUACUGUCUGGCUCGAGGCCGGGAGAGGUGAGAGGUACUUCAGGGGUAGGGGUGAAAUCUUGUAAUCCUUGAAGGACCACCAGUGGCGAAGGCGUCUCACCAGAACGGACCUGACGGCAAGGGACGAAAGCUAGGGGCACGAACCGGAUUAGAUACCCGGGUAGUCCUAGCCGUAAACGAUACUCGCUAGGUGUCGGCCACGGUGCGACCGUGGUCGGUGCCGUAGGGAAGCCGUGAAGCGAGCCACCUGGGAAGUACGGCCGCAAGGCUGAAACUUAAAGGAAUUGGCGGGGGAG